ACGAACGCUGGCGGCGUGCCUAAUACAUGCAAGUAGAACGCUGAAGGGGGAGCUUGCUUCUCCGGAUGAGUUGCGAACGGGUGAGUAACGCGUAGGUAACCUGCCUGGUAGCGGGGGAUAACUAUUGGAAACGAUAGCUAAUACCGCAUAAUAGUAGAUGUUGCAUGACAUUUGCUUAAAAGGUGCAAUUGCACCACUACCAGAUGGACCUGCGUUGUAUUAGCUAGUUGGUGGGGUAACGGCUCACCAAGGCGACGAUACAUAGCCGACCUGAGAGGGUGAUCGGCCACACUGGGACUGAGACACGGCCCAGACUCCUACGGGAGGCAGCAGUAGGGAAUCUUCGGCAAUGGACGGAAGUCUGACCGAGCAACGCCGCGUGAGUGAAGAAGGUUUUCGGAUCGUAAAGCUCUGUUGUAAGAGAAGAACGAGUGUGAGAGUGGAAAGUUCACACUGUGACGGUAUCUUACCAGAAAGGGACGGCUAACUACGUG
Molecule: ribosomal RNA, 494 nt
Filed under: uncultured bacterium
Lineage: Bacteria
Description: partial 16S ribosomal RNA
Rfam family: Bacterial small subunit ribosomal RNA
Source: RNAcentral